AAUCAACGCUGGCGGCGUGCCUCAGACAUGCAAGUCGAACGAUUAAAGCUCUCUUCGGAGAGUGUAUAGAGUGGCGCACGGGUGAGUAACACGUAAGUAAUCUACCCUCGAGUGGGGAAUAACAACCGGAAACGGUUGCUAAUACCGCAUAAUGCAGCGGCACCGCAAGGUGACAGUUGUUAAAGAUUUAUCGCUUGAGGAGGAGCUUGCGGCAGAUUAGCUAGUUGGUAGGGUAACGGCUUACCAAGGCUACGAUCUGUAACCGGUCUAAGAGGACGGUCGGUCACACUGACACUGAAUAACGGGUCAGACUCCUACGGGAGGCAGCAGUCGGGAAUUUUGGGCAAUGGGCGAAAGCCUGACCCAGCAACGCCGCGUGAAGGAUGAAGUAUUUCGGUAUGUAAACUUCGAAAGAAUAGGAAGAAUUAAUGACGGUACUAUUUAUAAGGUCCGGCUAACUACGUGCCAGCAGCCGCGGUAAAGU
RNAcentral lists this ribosomal RNA (484 nucleotides) under uncultured bacterium. RNAcentral's name for it is "bacterial SSU rRNA". It matches the Rfam family "Bacterial small subunit ribosomal RNA", at positions 32 to 526 of the family's 1533-position model. The record is from RNAcentral.